Molecule: ribosomal RNA, 1352 nt
Filed under: uncultured bacterium
Lineage: Bacteria
Description: bacterial SSU rRNA
Rfam family: Bacterial small subunit ribosomal RNA
Source: RNAcentral
AUUGAACGCUGGCGGCAUGCCUUACACAUGCAAGUCGAACGGCAGCACGGAGCUUGCUCUGGUGGCGAGUGGCGAACGGGUGAGUAAUAUAUCGGAACGUACCCUAGAGUGGGGGAUAACGUAGCGAAAGUUACGCUAAUACCGCAUACGAUCUAAGGAUGAAAGUGGGGGAUCGCAAGACCUCAUGCUCGUGGAGCGGCCGAUAUCUGAUUAGCUAGUUGGUAGGGUAAAAGCCUACCAAGGCAUCGAUCAGUAGCUGGUCUGAGAGGACGACCAGCCACACUGGAACUGAGACACGGUCCAGACUCCUACGGGAGGCAGCAGUGGGGAAUUUUGGACAAUGGGCGAAAGCCUGAUCCAGCAAUGCCGCGUGAGUGAAGAAGGCCUUCGGGUUGUAAAGCUCUUUUGUCAGGGAAGAAACGGUGGGAGCUAAUAUCUCUUGCUAAUGACGGUACCUGAAGAAUAAGCACCGGCUAACUACGUGCCAGCAGCCGCGGUAAUACGUAGGGUGCAAGCGUUAAUCGGAAUUACUGGGCGUAAAGCGUGCGCAGGCGGUUUUGUAAGUCUGAUGUGAAAUCCCCGGGCUCAACCUGGGAAUUGCAUUGGAGACUGCAAGGCUAGAAUCUGGCAGAGGGGGGUAGAAUUCCACGUGUAGCAGUGAAAUGCGUAGAUAUGUGGAGGAACACCGAUGGCGAAGGCAGCCCCCUGGGUCAAGAUUGACGCUCAUGCACGAAAGCGUGGGGAGCAAACAGGAUUAGAUACCCUGGUAGUCCACGCCCUAAACGAUGUCUACUAGUUGUCGGGUCUUAAUUGACUUGGUAACGCAGCUAACGCGUGAAGUAGACCGCCUGGGGAGUACGGUCGCAAGAUUAAAACUCAAAGGAAUUGACGGGGACCCGCACAAGCGGUGGAUGAUGUGGAUUAAUUCGAUGCAACGCGAAAAACCUUACCUACCCUUGACAUGGCUGGAAUCCUUGAGAGAUCAGGGAGUGCUCGAAAGAGAACCAGUACACAGGUGCUGCAUGGCUGUCGUCAGCUCGUGUCGUGAGAUGUUGGGUUAAGUCCCGCAACGAGCGCAACCCUUGUCAUUAGUUGCUACGAAAGGGCACUCUAAUGAGACUGCCGGUGACAAACCGGAGGAAGGUGGGGAUGACGUCAAGUCCUCAUGGCCCUUAUGGGUAGGGCUUCACACGUCAUACAAUGGUACAUACAAAGCGCCGCCAACCCGCGAGGGGGAGCUAAUCGCAGAAAGUGUAUCGUAGUCCGGAUUGUAGUCUGCAACUCGACUGCAUGAAGUUGGAAUCGCUAGUAAUCGCGGAUCAGCAUGUCGCGGUGAAUACGUUCCCGGGUCU